GGGUUGUGAGGUUAAGCGACUAAGCGUACACGGUGGAUGCCCUGGCAGUCAGAGGCGAUGAAGGGCGUGCUAAUCUGCGAUAAGCGCCGGUAAGGUGAUAUGAACCGUUAUAACCGGCGAUACCCGAAUGGGGAAACCCAGUGUGACUCGUCACACUAUCAUUAACUGAAUCCAUAGGUUAAUGAGGCGAACCGGGGGAACUGAAACAUCUAAGUACCCCGAGGAAAAGAAAUCAACCGAGAUUCCCCCAGUAGCGGCGAGCGAACGGGGAGGAGCCCAGAGCCUGAAUCAGCAUGUGUGUUAGUGGAAGCGUCUGGAAAGGCGCGCGAUACAGGGUGACAGCCCCGUACACAAAAGCGCAUGUGCUGUGAGCUCGAUGAGUAGGGCGGGACACGUGGUAUCCUGUCUGAAUAUGGGGGGACCAUCCUCCAAGGCUAAAUACUCCUGACUGACCGAUAGUGAACCAGUACCGUGAGGGAAAGGCGAAAAGAACCCCGGCGAGGGGAGUGAAAAAGAACCUGAAACCGUGUACGUACAAGCAGUGGGAGCCCCACCACCAAAGCAUUUGCUGUACCGCGUUGACGGAGCGAAGCGACGUCAAACCGAUAAAACAGCAGUGUAAAGUGAGCCGCAGGGCGCUUUGCGCGACAGCGCAAAGGCAGGCGGUUUCGCGUAGCGAAAGCGAAUGC
This 689-nucleotide ribosomal RNA is filed under the name Salmonella enterica. RNAcentral describes it as "partial 23S ribosomal RNA". It matches the Rfam family "Bacterial large subunit ribosomal RNA", at positions 1 to 684 of the family's 2925-position model. Lineage: Bacteria; Pseudomonadati; Pseudomonadota; Gammaproteobacteria; Enterobacterales; Enterobacteriaceae. RNAcentral also lists the same sequence under 1 other name. The record is from RNAcentral.